AAUAGAUGAGGUCAAACCUAGAGGAACUCGGAACCAGAAAAGAACCUCAUACAAGGACGAAGAUAAGAAGUCUCCUUAUGGAAUAAAUCUCUGCAGUGACUGGUUCCCCGAUGACUCUCUCACCCCAUGGCUGUUGCACCUUUGAUGGAACGUUCCCUGCAUUUAUCACCUGGUGGCUGCAAAAGACAUCCAUGGCUAAGGCUUCCUCCCCACCCCCGGCUGAGGACCAGAAACAAAGAACAAGGAGCCAAUGAUGCACCAACCUGCUCCUGAGACUUGAGAAUCUGCACCACGCGGAAGAUGUACUUGUCCUUACUGGCCUUGUUAUACUCCUUCAUGGCGAACCAGAGUGCCUGCUGCACGUACACAUAGUCUGUGGGGAUGUCCUGGAAUGCCCUCACCACCUUGGGUGAGCCCCAGGCUUGCACACUUCUGGGCACCAGCGCUGUAGCUGCCACCACGAACAGCAAGGUCUGGCAGGGUCUGGCCAUGGCUCCUCAGCCAAGGGGGCAAGGGGCUGAGGCCUGCUGUCCUGCCAGGGUGUGGGUUGGCUGUAGGCAGGAGGGCUCCAGCUAUCUCUGCAGGGCCCGCAGCUCCUCUUAGCACUGCUGGGGUUGGAAAGGAGUGAGGUUCUCUCACGAUUGUCUUCUCCAGCUUCUCCUCUUUCCCCCAAGAGAAGUCACCUGAGAAAUCUGCAGUUACAACUCAGCCCAUGUGCCCUGCUUGACCUUUUCCCUUCUGGAAGAAUUCAUGCCUCUGUGCAUGCAUACCUGGGAGCUGACACACAGGCGCACACAUGUGUGUGUACACAUGCAUGUGUACCCACACCCAUGUGCAUGCACCUACACACAUGUAAACACACACAUACCUAUGUACACA
Molecule: long non-coding RNA, 879 nt
Organism: Choloepus didactylus (southern two-toed sloth)
Lineage: Eukaryota; Metazoa; Chordata; Mammalia; Pilosa; Megalonychidae
Exons: 3
Source: RefSeq, a predicted model, not a curated record